RNAcentral lists this ribosomal RNA (1037 nucleotides) under fungal endophyte. RNAcentral's name for it is "eukaryotic LSU rRNA". The stretch from base 459 to 1037 matches the Rfam family "Eukaryotic large subunit ribosomal RNA", at positions 1 to 591 of the family's 3401-position model. The record is from RNAcentral. Lineage: Eukaryota; Fungi.
CGAGUUUACAACUCCCAAACCCCUGUGAACAUACCAAUUGUUGCCUCGGCGGAUCAGCCCGCUCCCGGUAAAACGGGACGGCCCGCCAGAGGACCCCUAAACUCUGUUUCUAUAUGUAACUUCUGAGUAAAACCAUAAAUAAAUCAAAACUUUCAACAACGGAUCUCUUGGUUCUGGCAUCGAUGAAGAACGCAGCAAAAUGCGAUAAGUAAUGUGAAUUGCAGAAUUCAGUGAAUCAUCGAAUCUUUGAACGCACAUUGCGCCCGCCAGUAUUCUGGCGGGCAUGCCUGUUCGAGCGUCAUUUCAACCCUCAAGCCCAGCUUGGUGUUGGGACUCGCGAGUCAAAUCGCGUUCCCCAAAUUGAUUGGCGGUCACGUCGAGCUUCCAUAGCGUAGUAGUAAAACCCUCGUUACUGGUAAUCGUCGCGGCCACGCCGUUAAACCCCAACUUCUGAAUGUUGACCUCGGAUCAGGUAGGAAUACCCGCUGAACUUAAGCAUAUCAAUAAGCGGAGGAAAAGAAACCAACAGGGAUUGCCCUAGUAACGGCGAGUGAAGCGGCAACAGCUCAAAUUUGAAAUCUGGCUCUCGGGCCCGAGUUGUAAUUUGUAGAGGAUACUUUUGAUGCGGUGCCUUCCGAGUUCCCUGGAACGGGACGCCAUAGAGGGUGAGAGCCCCGUCUGGUUGGAUGCCAAAUCUCUGUAAAGUUCCUUCGACGAGUCGAGUAGUUUGGGAAUGCUGCUCUAAAUGGGAGGUAUAUGUCUUCUAAAGCUAAAUACCGGCCAGAGACCGAUAGCGCACAAGUAGAGUGAUCGAAAGAUGAAAAGCACUUUGAAAAGAGAGUUAAAAAGUACGUGAAAUUGUUGAAAGGGAAGCGUUUAUGACCAGACUUGGGCUUGGUUGAUCAUCUGGGGUUCUCCCCAGUGCACUCUUCCAGUCCAGGCCAGCAUCAGUUUUCGCCGGGGGAUAAAGACUUCGGGAAUGUGGCUCUCUUCGGGGAGUGUUAUAGCCCGUUGUGUAAUACCCUGGCGGGGACUGA